AUUUAGGUAGCUUAAUUUUAGAGCAUAGCAUUGAAGAUGCUAGGGUAAUUUAUUAAUUUCUAAAUA
This 66-nucleotide transfer RNA is filed under the name Pimelocerus perforatus. Its description in RNAcentral is "tRNA-Phe". It matches the Rfam family "tRNA". Rfam says of the family: Transfer RNA (tRNA) molecules are approximately 80 nucleotides in length. Their secondary structure includes four short double-helical elements and three loops (D, anti-codon, and T loops). Further hydrogen bonds mediate the characteristic L-shaped molecular structure. tRNAs have two regions of fundamental functional importance: the anti-codon, which is responsible for specific mRNA codon recognition, and the 3' end, to which the tRNAs corresponding amino acid is attached (by aminoacyl-tRNA synthetases). tRNAs cope with the degeneracy of the genetic code in two manners: having more than one tRNA (with a specific anti-codon) for a particular amino acid; and 'wobble' base-pairing, i.e. permitting non-standard base-pairing at the 3rd anti-codon position. The record is from RNAcentral. Lineage: Eukaryota; Metazoa; Arthropoda; Insecta; Coleoptera; Curculionidae.